UUAACGAGUGCCGGGCGCAAGCCCGUCUUCGCACACCCUUUGUCGACUCUCCGCAGUUGCUUCGGCGGCGGUGGCGCCCCCUCGGGGGGGCCCCCCGCCGGAGGACCAACCUAAACGCAUGGCAAACCGGUCUGUCCGAGGCUAUACGCGAAAUCAGUCAAAACUUUCAACAACGGAUCUCUUGGUUCGGGCAUCGAUGAAGAACGCAGCGAAAUGCGAUACGUAAUGUGAAUUGCAGAAUUCAGUGAAUCAUCGAAUCUUUGAACGCACAUUGCGCCCGUCGGCAUUCCGACGGGCACGCCUGUCCGAGCGUCAUUGCACCCGUCAAGCCUCGCUUGGUGUUGGGGGACGUCGCGCCACGCGCGACCCCCCCGGAACCCGUUGGCGGUGGCCCUUCGCCCCGAUCGUCGCGCUCGUUACGACGGCGCGGGGGGACCGCCCGCCCAACUGGCCGGCAACGGCCACACAACACGC
This 474-nucleotide small RNA is filed under the name Arthrographis globosa. RNAcentral's name for it is "eukaryotic LSU rRNA". The stretch from base 162 to 315 matches the Rfam family "5.8S ribosomal RNA". The record is from RNAcentral. Lineage: Eukaryota; Fungi; Ascomycota; Dothideomycetes; Eremomycetales; Eremomycetaceae.